Molecule: long non-coding RNA, 423 nt
Organism: Rhagoletis zephyria (snowberry fruit fly)
Lineage: Eukaryota; Metazoa; Arthropoda; Insecta; Diptera; Tephritidae
Source: RefSeq, a predicted model, not a curated record
AGAAGUGAGCGUACCCAAACUUUUACCGAUAAUAACUCAUAUGAGGGAUUUAGGUAUUGGGCAUUUUGCAAGCCUAUUGGAAAGUAUACAUAUCUGUGUACGUACAGAAUAGGAGCUUAUGUCGGAAGGAUGGCUUUAGUAUAAUGAACCAUUCGCAGCAUUCGAUUGCGAAUGACUCACUGGUGCACAGCUAUUGAAGAACUGUUGGCAAAUAAACGAGAAAGAAGCAGUUUCGAUGCUAGAAAGUCAAUAUUGUUAUUAAGUCUCAAGAAAAAAUGCCUUGUAGUUUAAAGUAUAUAAGGAAUGGUACAUUAAACUAAAGCCAGCCUCCCGACAUAAGCUACUGUUCAUAGGAACGCAAAUAUAUUCGUGUACAAAGAAUCGUGAUUAUAUUAAUUAAGUCCUAUGAUAAGUUUGUGAAUC